CGGCUGCCCGGGGCGCGGGGGUGCCCGAGCUCUCCCGGCCGGUCACGCCGGCCCGCGAGAAGCAGCGACUAGAGACGCUGGCCGGGAGCGCCCGCUCGGGCCGCAGGGCUGCGGGCGGAGGCGAAAUAAAUAAUGCACGAAAAAGGAAAACAGACGUGAGCCGAGCCAGAGCCUCGCCCGCCUCCCGCCCCGGACUGCGCUCCCGCCCGCGCUCCCCGCCGCCGCCGCCAGCGCCGCUGCAGUGAUUCCUCGUCUCCAUCUAGCGAAGCUAUUGUGUAUUGGGCGCUUAAUAAUUUAUUUUUCCACCCGCGAGGAAGAGGGCUCCCAGCUCCCAAGGGUCUUGCUCCUCGCCUGCCGUCCCUACCCCAAGUUUCUCCGAGGCGCCAGGAAGGGGGAAAAGCCGCAUGGAACAAAGGGGCCAUCUAGAAGCCAGGAAGAGCGUGCUCAGCAGAAACCCACUCUGCUGGACCUUCAUCCGGGACUUCCAACCUCCAGAACUGUGAGAAAGUGAAUUUCUGUAGUUUACGCCACCCCUGCUGGGGUAUCUUGUUAGGACCGCUCGAGCUGAUACUCGGAUUCACCAGGGGCUCUCUGCUCAGAGAUACCAUGAAUGGGCAGUUAAACAUCCCAAGACCCUCCAGGCUGUGAACCUGUUUCUCCCAGCCUGAGAGGGUAUUUGGAAGGGAGGCCUGGCACCUGUCUGACGCUUUAGACUUUAGAUGUCACCGAGAGCUUUACCCACGCUGCGGCGACAGCUGUCCACCUGGAGGAGCGGAGGAGGAGGAGCUGGCCCUGGUACAGAUCUUUCUGGAUCCCGGAACACUAACCAUCAGCGACUUGGGUAGCAGGUGAAUUUCUAACCCCGUCUUACAUAAGGAAACACGACGUUCGCAUCUCCUCACAUCCCAGAAAACUGUUGCUCCGCUGUGACCUGCCAUCAGCAGGCGGAAGAUGAGGACAAGUGGCUGAGAAGCAGGACAGGCCAGGAAGGGUGGGGCUAAGCUGGCCCUCACUGGGAGGGCCGUGGGGUCCAGCAGCUGGUGGUGAUGCAGCUGUGAAGAGCUGGCCCCGGGCGAGGCACGGUGGGCAUUUCAUUUCCUUCAGGCCUCCCAGCGGCUGUGGAGGCAGGGGCUGGCAGCCCCCUCAUCCAGAACAGGGAUCUGAGGCUGGGCCCCCAAGUUCCCAGUGCCCCCAAACCAAGCAUGUCUGAACGCACACCCUGUUUGCCCUGCUGCGAAGUGACUUUGCCGUGGGAGGUGAUGAGUGUGUCCUUCCCGGGCUGCGCAAGUGGUGGCUCAGGGUGUUGUAAAAAUGGCAAUAGACCUCAGAUGAAGGUUGGACUAAAUGCCCUUGGACCCUUGAAGAUCCUGGUCAUCCAUAAACCACCAGGGUGGCUGGAGCCCAGGCCUCACGGCAGAGGGAGACCAAAGUUUACCUGGGGCUCUAGCGCGCAUUUGGAAGGUACUUGCUAGGGAAAGGAAACUCUAUGAUUUGCAUGUGACACGGCCACUUCCUGGGUCAGAGCCAAGACUUGGGAAAAGCCUGAGUGUUCUUCAAGAAGAGUCUAGAUAAAUAACCAACAGAUCAGCAACUACAAAGGCCUCAGAGAGCCCUCUGAGAUGGACAGAAGCCCAGAUCUAUCCUCUUGUGAUGAAAGCAUAUUGCAGAAUAAGUCGUAAAUUGGGAUAGCGCUUAUGUCAAAGACACACAAAGUCUUGUGUUUCCAUAUGUAAUUAAAAAUGUGUGUCAAUGCCUAGCAAGAGUUCUGGAAAGAGGCAUCCUGAGCUGAUGAUGGGGUUCCCUCCAGGGAG
Phacochoerus africanus (Common warthog) is the source of this 1811-nucleotide long non-coding RNA. RefSeq lists it as uncharacterized. The transcript is spliced from 4 exons. Lineage: Eukaryota; Metazoa; Chordata; Mammalia; Artiodactyla; Suidae. The record is from RefSeq and is a predicted model, not a curated record.